GAUGAACGCUGGCGGCGUGCUUAACACAUGCAAGUCGAACGAUGAAGCCCAGCUUGCUGGGUGGAUUAGUGGCGAACGGGUGAGUAACACGUGAGUAACCUGCCCUUAACUCUGGGAUAAGCCUGGGAAACUGGGUCUAAUACCGGAUAGGAGCGUCCACCGCAUGGUGGGUGUUGGAAAGGUUUAUCGGUUUUGGAUGGACUCGCGGCCUAUCAGCUUGUUGGUGAGGUAAUGGCUCACCAAGGCGACGACGGGUAGCCGGCCUGAGAGGGUGACCGGCCACACUGGGAUUGAGACACGGCCCAGACUCCUCCGGGAGGCAGCAGUGGGGAAUAUUGCACAAUGGGCGCAAGCCUGAUGCAGCGACGCCGCGUGAGGGAUGACGGCCUUCGGGUUGUAAACCUCUUUCAGUAGGGAAGAAGCGAAAGUGACGGUACCUGCAGAAGAAGCACCGGCUAACUACGUG
RNAcentral lists this ribosomal RNA (466 nucleotides) under uncultured bacterium. RNAcentral describes it as "partial 16S ribosomal RNA". It matches the Rfam family "Bacterial small subunit ribosomal RNA", at positions 28 to 507 of the family's 1533-position model. The record is from RNAcentral.